This 440-nucleotide ribosomal RNA is filed under the name uncultured bacterium. Its description in RNAcentral is "partial 16S ribosomal RNA". It matches the Rfam family "Bacterial small subunit ribosomal RNA", at positions 338 to 795 of the family's 1533-position model. The record is from RNAcentral.
CCUACGGGAGGCUGCAGUGGGGAAUAUUGCACAAUGGGGGAAACCCUGAUGCAGCGACGCCGCGUGAGUGAAGAAGUAAUUCGUUACGUAAAGCUCUAUCAGCAGGGAAGAAAAUGACGGUACCUGAGUAAGAAGCCACGGCUAACUACGUGCCAGCAGCCGCGGUAAUACGGAGGGGGCAAGCGUUAUCCGGAUUUACUGGGUGUAAAGGGAGCGUAGACGGUGCGCCAAGUCUGCAGUGAAAUGCCGCGGCUUAACUGCGGAAGUGCUUUGGAAACUGGCGACCUAGAGUGCGGGAGGGGUAGGCGGAAUUCCUAGUGUAGCGGUGAAAUGCGUAGAUAUUAGGAGGAACACCGGUUGCGAAGGCAGCUUACUGGACCGUAACUGACGUUGAGGCUCGAAAGCGUGGGGAGCAAACAGGAUUAGAUACCCUUGUAGUC